GUCUGGAAUAACCAGACAAGAGGAACAAGAUGCAACAUUUUCUUGAAACUGUCGGAGGGGCAGGUUUAGGGGCAGCCAUUCACCGUAUGCUACGCCGAGCGGCAAAUAAUGAGGUACUCGCCCAGUACAGCUUGCGGGGCAGACGGGCCAAAAUGUCCUUUGAUGUCCAUUCUGUGCAAGAUUAUAAAGGCUGCAUGUGUCAAAAAAUUUCCCGGCCAUACGGAAGCUGAAGUGGAGGAAUGCCUUGGCCAGACUCUAAAAUUUGCACCACACAGACGGUCAGCUGGUCAGCAGCAACGGGUGAACAGUGAAUUUUUAUUCUAUUUUUGUGAACAGUGAUUUUUAUUCUAUUUUUUUGUGAAGUGAUU
Neoarius graeffei (lesser salmon catfish) is the source of this 368-nucleotide long non-coding RNA. RefSeq lists it as uncharacterized. The record is from RefSeq and is a predicted model, not a curated record. The transcript is spliced from 4 exons. NCBI's taxonomy places the organism in Eukaryota, Metazoa, Chordata, Actinopteri, Siluriformes, Ariidae.